UGCCGCUGGCCGGGCGCGGUGACGAAGGUGCGGCUCAGCAGGCCGCAGACCGUGGCGUUCAGCGCGGCGUGCGGCAGC
RNAcentral lists this transfer RNA (78 nucleotides) under Deinococcus indicus. RNAcentral describes it as "tRNA-Ala". Lineage: Bacteria; Thermotogati; Deinococcota; Deinococci; Deinococcales; Deinococcaceae. The record is from RNAcentral.